This 198-nucleotide ribosomal RNA is filed under the name Borreliella burgdorferi (Lyme disease spirochete). Its description in RNAcentral is "partial 23S ribosomal RNA". It matches the Rfam family "Bacterial large subunit ribosomal RNA", at positions 2716 to 2925 of the family's 2925-position model. Lineage: Bacteria; Pseudomonadati; Spirochaetota; Spirochaetia; Spirochaetales; Borreliaceae. The record is from RNAcentral.
ACCAGUUAUCCUGCCAAGGGUAAGUGCUGGGUAGCUACGUUCGGAAAGGAUAACCGCUGAAAGCAUCUAAGUGGGAAGCCUUCCUCAAGAUGAGAUAUCCUUUAAGGGUCCUGGAAGAAUACCAGGUCGAUAGGUUAGAAGUGUAAGUAUAGUAAUAUAUUAAGCUGACUAAUACUAAUUACCCGUAUCUUUGGCCAU